CUUUGUCUCUGCAAGCUCCAUUCAGAGGUGUAAGGGGCAGAUGGUGUUGCCCAGGGGUAGAUGGUAUAAACCCCUUCGUGUUCGUGACGCCAGGGCGUGAUUUGACCUUAAUCACCCGAAGGGGGUAGUAUUGAUGGCCUAUCCCUAAGAUCAAUAUCUGACAGGGCCCAACUCUCAAGAAAAAAGGCAUUCAGCGCUUCAAGUAAAAACCUUGUCCCGAAGCACAGUUUGAUUCCAUGGCUUACAAAAAAGACUAUAAGGAGUCCCAAUACCAUCCAGAGCAGAAUCCUGUCCGGCUGCAGCAUCAUCUUUGUCCAAACUGAAGCACAGGCUGGGACAAAGUGCAGUAAGUGAGGGUGGGAUUAGUAUUCCUCUGUGCGCACUCCUGU
Hyla sarda is the source of this 389-nucleotide long non-coding RNA. RefSeq lists it as uncharacterized. The transcript has 3 exons. Lineage: Eukaryota; Metazoa; Chordata; Amphibia; Anura; Hylidae. The record is from RefSeq and is a predicted model, not a curated record.